CAAACAUAAGGUUAUGGAAGCAAAGUGCUCGAUGCACAAAGCAAAGUGAAAAGUCCUAACGGCCAACCCAAAUUCUAAACCGUAAAAUAGAAAAAUAAAAUAAAAGGGCAAAGUAUGUAAAUAAAAGGGAAAAUCUAAAAAAAACAAAAAAAACACGGAGAGAUGGGCGACUGCCAUUUUUGAAAAUAGAGAGACAACUUAAGUUUUUAAAAUGUCAAAAGCCUCCAAUCAAAACUAGACACAUGGCCUAGAUUAAAAAAAGAAAGAAAAAAAACGCACAACAUUACAACCUUCUCUCUCGAUCCUUUUUUUCUUCUUCAGAAUAACAAAAACACAAAUAUUUUUAUCCUUACUUUCUCACUCGAUGAUUGAUAUCUCCCUCUCAUGUCUCACACUCCCUCGUCGUG
RNAcentral lists this long non-coding RNA (407 nucleotides) under Lathyrus oleraceus (garden pea). RNAcentral's name for it is "Pisum sativum (pea) long non-coding RNA (PSAT_LNC000182)". Lineage: Eukaryota; Viridiplantae; Streptophyta; Magnoliopsida; Fabales; Fabaceae. The record is from RNAcentral.